Molecule: long non-coding RNA, 3996 nt
Organism: Scylla paramamosain (green mud crab)
Lineage: Eukaryota; Metazoa; Arthropoda; Malacostraca; Decapoda; Portunidae
Exons: 5
Source: RefSeq, a predicted model, not a curated record
AAAAAGAGAGAAAAAGUAUUAGACAACAACAACAACAAUAACAACAAUAAUAAAUGGAUAUAUAUAGAUAAUGAUGAAAAUGAUGGUGAUGAUUAUGGUGUUGCUGUUCUUCACUGUUAAGCUUGCCAGGACAAAUUAUAAUGAAUUAAAUGCGAGCGGUAAAAGGGAAGGGUGUAGGGAAGGGGUGGAGGGAAGGGAUGGGGGGUGGAGGUGACAGGGGAGCAUGGGACACAUCUUCCCCCUCCCCCUCCCCGUCCACACACCUCCCACCCUGUAUCUGUUAUCGUUACUGAUUAAAAGACUGGGCAUUGCAUCUUCUGGGCGUGUCACGUGAUCAUUUACAGAUUUUUUUUUCUUUCUUUUCUUUUCUUUUUUUUUUUUUUUUUGAUAAUUCGUAAAUCGAAAGUCGAAGUUUUGUUUUAGUGCUUUCUGUGAUGUUUGCUGUUUGUUGAUGUGUGUUUGUUUAUUUAUUUAUUUAUUUUUUCGGGGGGCCAUUGUACUACUACUAUUACUACUACUACUACUACUGCUACUACUACUACUACUGCUACUACUACUACUGCUGGUGCUGCUGCUACUUCUACUGCUGCUGCUACUAUUACUUCUACUAACAGAAAAUAAUACUGCUACUACUACUGUUACUACUACGACUUGUACUACUACUACUACUAUUACUACUACUACUAUUACUACUACUACUGCUACAACUAUUACUACUACUGCUACUACCAGCGCUGCUACUACUACUACUACUACUACUACUACUACUAAUAAUAAUAAUAAUAAUACUGCUACUACUACUAUUACCACUACUACUACUAUUACAACAACAACAACAACAACAACAACAGCAACAAACACAUUUUCGCUUUACUUUAAAUGCCUCUACUGUUAGUUAGCACAAUUUAAAUCCCACGGGGUAUUUAAAUCACCACCCGGAUGUGAUAUAAAAACAACGGCGUAAAAAAAACUCUUCAGAAAAACAAACAAACGGCAACAAUUCCUGAUUUAACAAACCAUUAUAUUCCAACUCACCAAUAAUAACUAACUCAUAAAAAACACGACGAAUUUUUUGGCCACAUUGAAAUCAGGAGAAAUAUUUGGGGUAAAGAAAUAAAGGAGAAAAGGAAAAAGCUUGCGGGACCCAGACCGAGACUUCAGAGCGUUGGAACCAGGGUCCAGGUAGGACGUUCAGAGCUAGUCACGGAAUCAGGCAGGGAGGUCGCGCAAUUUCCGUCUCCCAUCCUGUCCUUUCAAAUGCCACCAAAACUCACCUUUUCUGCAAAGUUUCUCGCUUCAUCGCCUCCGUGCAAGGAGGAGUGCGCAGUUCAGUUCUUCCCUGUCGCAACGUUGAAGAAUAACUACACGUGUGGCCUGUCCUGAGUUCCCGUCAUCGAAGGAAAAAGGCACUGUCUCUUAACUUCACGACUCGGGCAGCAAGGAAUUCCACCACGUUCUGAUGAGUGGCGUGGUGAGUGAGUGAAGCGGCGAGCGAGUGAGCGAGUGGGAUGUGGAGAGGCCGUGAUGAAGACCCCGGUGCCUUGAAUUGGGCGUCGUGGAAGUUAACGUAGUACCGCCUCGUGCUGGCUAAGGGAAUAGAAAACGAGAGCUCGGGUGACCCAUUUUUAAGGGUGAGUGAUGCGUCUUUCCCAACCUUUUGUGCUCGUAAAGAAGGGUUAAGUGGCUGCUUGUGUACGAGAGAGAGAGAGAGAGAGAGAGAGAGAGAGAGAGAGAGAGAGAGAGAGAGAGAGAGAGAGAGAGAGAGAGACUUUUCCCUGCUCACAACAUCACUUGCUUCUCAAAUUCUAGGUCUUUCUUCCCAUUCUGAUAUCGUCUCCUCCCUCUCUCCCUCUCUCCCUCUCGCACUCCCUCUCCCUCUCCCUCUCUCAGUGUCCGUAAACUAAAUGUAGCGGCCGGACGAACACGAGGGGAGCACAUAUCAACCAUUUAUAUGCAAGUGUUCGGAACCUUUUGUGUCUUGCUAUUUAUUUUUAUUUCCUCUGACGCUUCAUUUUUUUUCUCUUUUUAUUUUGCGAUGGACGAACUGAGAGCAAGAAGAGGAAGAGGAAGAGGAUAGUCAUUACGCACCGUGGCAUUAUUUUGGCACUUUUUGGCACCUUCGGCCCUAUUUCUGGCACUCUCUGGCACUCGCUGUCGACACUUAUCCUAGGCGAGGGGAGAUUUUGACAGACGCUCUCUGCCCUGUGCUUGGCAAGAGUAGGGAAGGUCACUCGCUAAGAUGUGAAUAAAAGUGGCGAUUUUGUUAAACAUGUAUUGACUGCACUGAUGGUGGUGGUGGUGGUGGUGGUGGGUGGUGGUGUUGGUAGUGGAGGUGGUGGCGGUGGUAGUAGUAGUAGUAGUAAGGAUGUUAUUAGUAUGUAUUUUGUUAGGUUAGGUAGUAAGGUUAGGUAAUAGAGUGGGGACGACCACAGUCAUUGGCAAGGUCGGGUCCAGAGGUCUGCGUUGUGAAGGAUUGGUCGUAUUAUUCAUGAAGCAGCUCCGGCGCAGCGUGGAUGAAGGUCGUUUUUGUUAUUGUUAUUAUUAUUAUUGCUGUUAUUAUUAUUAUUAUUAUUAUUAUUAUUAUUAUUAUUAUUAUUAUUAUUAUUAUUAUUAUUAUUAUUAUGUAGUAGUAGUAUUAGUAGCAGUAUGAGCGGUAACAGUCAAGCAGGUAAAUGUAAACACGUACUUUACAUAUGUUACUAAGAGGUGCAUCAGGUUUUCCCUCUCCCUCUCUGCGAGGAAGCGAGUCCUUCCCUCACAGCUACACAAACACUGCAUUGGUAUGUCCGGGCGAGGCUUUGGCAGCUGCUGUGUAAAUGAAAACUCGUGUUAACAUAGUUUUGCAAGCCCCGCUUGAUGGCACGUUUGUCAGGGCACGUGCAAAUAGAUGGUAGAUAAAUUCAAACUUACAGUAACAUUAUUCUGCGCUGGAUUUGUAAUGGGAUGUCAGAGUAGAUAUGGAUAAUAGAUGUGCAUAUUAUUAAAAUUAACACGAGUACAGUACAUAGCGUUACGGUGGUAAUGUAUUGGGUGUGAGUGUGUGGAAAUAUAAAUAACAGUUUUGUGUAUUACUGUGUAUUAGGUAUUAACUUUGCAAUGGGUAUGUAAUGGGAUAUGGAAACGUAGAUAUAGGAAACGUAUAGAUAUUAAAGCACAUCAAAAUACCAACUUUAAAUUCCUAUAUACGUAACUGAUCAGCUGUAUACCCUUUGGAAUAUAGAGAACAAAGAAAACAGUAUAUAGUAAACUUUCAGAAUAUAUAGAAAACAUACAAAUUCAAAUACAGUAGAAUACAAACUUUUAAUGCCUGUAUGCACAUCUUCAUCUGUAUACCUUUUGGGAAAUGAGAACAGAGAGAACAAGACAUAAAAAAAAUAAACAUUAGAUAACAUUUCAACACAGUGUCAUGUAGUGGUGUGAACGCUGUCUCUUUCAAAUUAGAGUCCAUCAAAUGUUCUUGUAUGUGAAUUUCAUCUGUCGCUCACGGUUUUUUAUAGUUCGUUUAAAGCUUAGCCAUAUUUUGUUUAUUUUUUGUGGUUGUCAUUAAUCUUUAACGUCCCUUUGUUUGUUAAUGUAGGCGGCACGUACUAGCACAGCAAUGAUUCCUGUGAAAUGACGUAAAGUUUUGUGGUUAAAUGUAUUCAGCACGUAUUCUUAUUCAUUUUACAAGAACAUUUUAACUUAUUUUGCAUCGUUUACUUGUUGAUACAGAUGCACCACACUACUACAGCAAUACUUCCUGUGAAAUUAUUAGGGAAACUUUUAUGCUGAUAUUUAUCACGUUUGUUUGAAUUUUACAGGGAUAUUUAAACUUAUUUUCUGUAUAUUAAUUGCAUCUGUUGUGAUCAAUAAUCUAAUCUCGUGUAAUGUAUAGAGAGUAUGGGUGUAGUUGGGGUGGGGGCCACAGUGACGGGCAGGGCAGGGGCCAGUGACCUGUGUUAGUCUGACAACAGCACCGAGCCACGGGUGGAGGCUGGCUGAUUAGGGAAAUGUUUU